GCUGGCGGUGUGCUUAAUACAUGCAAGUCGAACGAUAAGGUCACUUCGGUGAUACAUAAGUGGCGGACGGGUGAGUAACACGUAGGUAAUCUGCCUUAAGGCGGGGGAUAACACCGGGAAACUGGUGCUAAUACCCCAUAUGUAACAGUCUGCAAGGUCUGUUAUGAAAGCUCCGGCGCCUUGAGAUGAGCCUGCGGCUGAUUAGCUUGUUGAUGGGGUAAUGGCCUACCAAGGCGACGAUCAGUAGCUGGUCUGAGAGGAUGAUCAGCCACAAUGGAACUGAGACACGGUCCAUACUCCUACGGGAGGCAGCAGUAGGGAAUUUUGCGCAAUGGGCGAAAGCCUGACGCAGCAACACCGCGUGUGGGAUGAAGCUUUUCGGAGUGUAAACCACUGUCAGAGGGGACGAAAUCUGACGGUACCCUCAAAGGAAGCAUCGGCUAACUACGUGCCAGCAGCCGCGGUAAGACGUAGGAUGCAAGCGUUGUCCGGAAUCAUUGGGCGUAAAGCGUCCGUAGGCGGCCUGCCAAAGUCUGAUGUUCAAGCCCGGGGCUCAACUCCGGUCCAGCAUUGGAUACCUGGCAAGCUAGAGUACAGUAGAGGUAAGGGGAAUCCCUAGUGUAAGCGGUGAAAUGCGUAGAUCUCAGGAGGAACACCGGGUGGCCGAAAGCGCCUUGCUGGACCUGUAACUGACGCUGAGGGGACGAAACCCAAGGGGAGCAAA
RNAcentral lists this ribosomal RNA (724 nucleotides) under uncultured organism. RNAcentral describes it as "bacterial SSU rRNA". It matches the Rfam family "Bacterial small subunit ribosomal RNA", at positions 35 to 772 of the family's 1533-position model. The record is from RNAcentral.